GGGUGUUCUUAGUAGCUCAGUUGGUUAGAGCGUUGCCUUGACAUGGCAGAGGUCACAAGUUCGAAUCUUGUUACACCCACCA
RNAcentral lists this transfer RNA (82 nucleotides) under Alphaproteobacteria bacterium 46_93_T64. Its description in RNAcentral is "tRNA-Val". The stretch from base 12 to 75 matches the Rfam family "tRNA". Rfam says of the family: Transfer RNA (tRNA) molecules are approximately 80 nucleotides in length. Their secondary structure includes four short double-helical elements and three loops (D, anti-codon, and T loops). The record is from RNAcentral. Lineage: Bacteria; Pseudomonadati; Pseudomonadota; Alphaproteobacteria.